AGCAGUAGCCGCGGUAAUACGAAGGGGGCUAGCGUUGCUCGGAAUGACUGGGCGUAAAGGGCGCGUAGGCGGUUUAUUGGGUCAGAUGUGAAAUUCCUGGGCUUAACCUGGGGGCUGCAUUUGAAACUAAUAGGCUUGAGUUCGGAAGAGGGUCGUGGAAUUCCCAGUGUAGAGGUGAAAUUCGUAGAUAUUGGGAAGAACACCGGUGGCGAAGGCGGCGACCUGGUCCGAAACUGACGCUGAGGCGCGAAAGCGUGGGGAGCAAACAGGAUUAGAUACCCCUGUAGUCCCUGUCUCUUAUAC
Molecule: ribosomal RNA, 303 nt
Filed under: uncultured bacterium
Lineage: Bacteria
Description: partial 16S ribosomal RNA
Rfam family: Bacterial small subunit ribosomal RNA
Source: RNAcentral